This 523-nucleotide long non-coding RNA is filed under the name Salmo salar (Atlantic salmon). RNAcentral describes it as "lncRNA (ENSSSAG00000090556.1)". The record is from RNAcentral. Lineage: Eukaryota; Metazoa; Chordata; Actinopteri; Salmoniformes; Salmonidae.
CGGUCGGGGAAGGCUGUGUGUGUGUGUGUGUGUGUGUGAAGGGGAGGGGGCUGGCCGUUCCGCUGUCACUCAUUGUGCGUGGCUGCGCGGUUUUCCACGCAGCUCUCUCUUCUGCUGAAUUAUUCAUGAGAAUUGAGUGACGACUGAAUCCGAGGACGUGUUUUAUGCAGAUUAGCUGUUCUAUUCUAUUUCAAUACGCGGGAGGCGGAGCCACGCACGGCACGUAAAGGGGGGAGUGGAGAACUCUCUCACACCUCUCACAGAGCUUGGCCUGUUAGAUAGAUUGGCUGUGCACCUUAUCUCUGUCUAGGGGUGAGAGCAGCGUGAGGGGAGACUGACAGUCAGAGAAAGAGAGAGAGAGAGAGAGAGAGAGAGAGAAUGAUACAAAAGUAACAGAUCGAUGCCAUUGGCCGAGGCGCCCGCAGUGUCUCCCACAGGAUGAUCAGGAUGUCAUUGGACAAAGAGACUGUUCUACAGCGUGAUGGGCGGGGCGACGCUGCUGUCCCAGAAGGCCCUGCGUCAG